GACAGAGGGUGCAAACGUUGUUCGGAAUUACUGGGCGUAAAGCGCGUGUAGGCGGCUAAGUAAGUCGGGCGUGAAAUCCCACGGCUCAACCGUGGAAGUGCACUCGAAACUGCAUAGCUAGAGUCCUGGAGAGGAAGGUGGAAUGCUUGGUGUAGAGGUGAAAUUCGUAGAUAUCAAGCGGAACACCGGUGGCGAAGGCAAUCCCCUGGGCCUGCACUGACGCUCAUGCACGAAAGCGUGGGGAGCAAACAGG
Molecule: ribosomal RNA, 253 nt
Filed under: uncultured bacterium
Lineage: Bacteria
Description: partial 16S ribosomal RNA
Rfam family: Bacterial small subunit ribosomal RNA
Source: RNAcentral